AUCUAACAACAUGCAGCUAGCAUACGGAGGUUGUCUUUGCGGCUGCACGUCGCAAUAUCUAACCCUAGGUUUUUCAUGAACUUGCUGUAAGCUCGUAGUUUUUCAUCUGGCUUUCUGCGAGUUGUAAGUUCACACUUUGGUGGUACUGUUGGGCAAAAAAAGCUAGAUUAUCUCCGAUGUUUGUCGGUAAAAUGCGGUGUGCAAACUUCAUGACAAGCUUCGCCGAGACUGGCACAGUCCCAUACGUGCCAUCCCGUGUACGGAUGGGAAGUGCCGAGCACCGGAGGUUUGGCCAUGCACUCAAUGUGCAAUUUUCCUUCAGUCAAAGAGCCUUUCCAAUGAACUACUGUCAGUCGCAUCAGCUGUUUGUAGACGUCUACUCUCAGUGUGUGCACAUUGGUCAGAAUGUUUUGUUAGGGCUAAGACGUGACUGAUCGUUAAAUUAUUGUUCAAUUGUGUUUGUACCAGAUCAACUUGCCAAGAAUUUGAGAAGAAACUCAUACUGAGAUUUGUAUGAGUUUAUCAAACCUUGGUACAUUU
Molecule: non-coding RNA, 540 nt
Filed under: Mespilia globulus
Lineage: Eukaryota; Metazoa; Echinodermata; Echinoidea; Temnopleuroida; Temnopleuridae
Source: RNAcentral